RNAcentral lists this ribosomal RNA (521 nucleotides) under uncultured bacterium. RNAcentral describes it as "bacterial SSU rRNA". It matches the Rfam family "Bacterial small subunit ribosomal RNA", at positions 988 to 1509 of the family's 1533-position model. The record is from RNAcentral.
CCAGCGAACUUGGCAGAGAUGCCUUGGUGCCUUCGGGAACGCUGAGACAGGUGCUGCAUGGCUGUCGUCAGCUCGUGUUGUGAAAUGUUGGGUUAAGUCCCGCAACGAGCGCAACCCUUAUCCUUUGUUGCCAGCGAUUCGGUCGGGAACUCAAAGGAGACUGCCGGUGAUAAACCGGAGGAAGGUGGGGAUGACGUCAAGUCAUCAUGGCCCUUACGAGUAGGGCUACACACGUGCUACAAUGGCGCAUACAAAGAGAAGCGACCUCGCGAGAGCAAGCGGACCUCAUAAAGUGCGUCGUAGUCCGGAUCGGAGUCUGCAACUCGACUCCGUGAAGUCGGAAUCGCUAGUAAUCGUGGAUCAGAAUGCCACGGUGAAUACGUUCCCGGGCCUUGUACACACCGCCCGUCACACCAUGGGAGUGGGUUGCAAAAGAAGUAGGUAGCUUAACCUUCGGGAGGGCGCAUACCACUUUGUGAUUCAUGACUGGGGUGAAGUCGUAACAAGGUAAGCGUAGCGAG